UCGAGCACGUGCGCAUGCCUUAACUAAAAACCAUAGAUAAACUAGUUUGUCUAUGACUCUAUGCUAAGAACUAAUAAGAGAGUGCACAAACGUCACUAAAUAAUUCCUUAAUGGACUAUAGGUGUAUUUGAAAAAAUUAAAUUUAAUUUUAUCAAUGUCAAACAUCAAAGUAUAGAACAAAUAGAAACUUACUGACUAUUUUUUUUCUUGUUUUCUUAUUAGUUUCUAACCUCAAAAUGGUGUUUCGUGUUUAAUCUGGUAUCAAGAUGGUAUGUCUAUAGAUUCCCAGUCAUUCAUAUAUUCACGGAAAUGACACUGCUGAUUUGUUAGCUAAUGAAGAUACAUAUGAAGUUGAUCCCCCAAAUAUUCCUGGUGGACCCCAAGAACUUUGGCCCAGGUUUCGAUCUGAUCAAGCACAAAGUUGGAGAGAUGAAUUUUUGGAUAUAUGUACCCAUAAGGGUCGAAUAUAUGCUUCAUUCCUUAAUAUCAAUUCAGUUUAUAGUACACUCUGGUUUGCAAAAAAUGAUCGUCCGCGCCGUUUUUUCACGACCAUUCUCCGACUCAGGUCUGGCCACUGCCUCACCCCUUAUCACUUAACAGGAUAGGUCUCAGAGAAUCCGCUUUUUGUGAGUAUGGCGUAUUUGGGGAUAUAACACACAUGUUUUUUUGUUGCGAAAACAACUUUUUUAAUUGUAACGCUCUAUACUCCACACUCUCCUCAUUUGAUUUUCCUUUACCAUUAAAUUUAUUUGAGGUCUUUAGAUAAUCAGUCCUGGGAUUGGACUUCCAAGACUCCUGUUGCCCCAGGACCCAGGAUCAAGACUGACAUUCACACUACCGAGAUUGGGUACAUGGUUUUUCAGGCUGAGCCCAUAUUCAGACUCUCUCAAUCAGAUUGAUCUGUUUGAGAAAAAGAAGAAAACUAACCAAAGAGUACUCAUCACAGAGUGAAGAUGGAAAUGGGAGAAAAUGAGGAAAGCUAUGAAAAAGGAAAUUCAUUCGACUUAGCUUUUCAGUACACAACUGAUGGGGGGCAUAUUGAUGAAAAGACUGAAAUCAUGGAUAUUUCUCAUCAAUACACUGAUGAGAAUGGAAUAAGAUUGUCUAUUAAAUAUGAAAUAGACGAGUUUG
This is a long non-coding RNA of Harmonia axyridis, 1131 nucleotides long. RefSeq lists it as uncharacterized. The transcript is spliced from 3 exons. NCBI's taxonomy places the organism in Eukaryota, Metazoa, Arthropoda, Insecta, Coleoptera, Coccinellidae. The record is from RefSeq and is a predicted model, not a curated record.